This is a non-coding RNA of Phrynosoma platyrhinos (Desert horned lizard), 72 nucleotides long. The record is from the annotation of a GenBank genome assembly. NCBI's taxonomy places the organism in Eukaryota, Metazoa, Chordata, Lepidosauria, Squamata, Phrynosomatidae.
GUCAACGUAGUAUAGUGGUUUGAGCAUUGGACUGUGACUCUGGAGACCAGGGUUUGAAUCCCUGCUCAGUCA